GAUGAUAGAGAAGGAAGCAUUGUGGAAGUGAAAGAAGGUCUCAAAGUUAUAAGCCCUCCAACAUUGCGACCAAGACAAGGAAGAGAGGAAGAAGAAGAAGAAGAAGAAGAGGAGGAGGAAAGGAGAGGAGAUCGUCGUCGCCACCGCCCCCACCACCAUGAAGAGGAGGAGGAGGAAGAGGAAUGGAGCCACCAAGUAAGGAGAGUUCGUCGCCCUCACCACCACCGUGAAGAUAGAAACGGACUUGAGGAGACACUUUGCACAUUGAAACUUCGCCACAACAUUGGUCAAUCUACAUCUCCUGAUGCAUACAACCCUCAAGCUGGCAGGCUCAAAACACUCACUAGCCUCGACUUCCCAAUCCUUCGUUGGCUUGGACUUGCUGCUGAACAUGGAUCUAUCUACAAAGUAAGUAAUUCUUCUUCAUAAACUUAUCAUCAUUUAUACACUAUUAAUGGAUUAACCAUGAAUGGAUGUUGUGUUGGUGUAGAAUGCUAUGUUUGUACCUUACUACAACGUGAACGCCAACAGCAUAUUAUAUGUAUUGAAUGGAAGUGCAUGGUUCCAAGUUGUGGAUUGUAGUGGCAAUGCUGUAUUCAAUGGGGAACUGAAUGAGGGUCAAGUCCUAACAAUACCACAAAACUAUGCUGUAGCUAUAAAGUCCCUUGAUGACAAUUUCAGGUAGAGUUAAUAAUAUUUAUGAACAUAUAAAAUGUUGUCUCAUAAUUGAUUGAUGUUUAUGAAAUAUUAUGGUUUUUCAGUUAUGUGGCAUUCAAGACAAAUGAUAUACCUCAGAUUGCAGCCCUUGCUGGGCUUACCUCUAGCAUAAGAGCUUUGCCUUUGGAUGUGGUUGCACAUGCAUUCAACUUGGAUAGGGACCAAGCUAGACAACUCAAGAACAACAACCCUUACAAGUUUCUGGUUCCACCACCUCAGUCUCAACUCAGAGCAGUGGCUUAGAAACACCAUAAACCUUCUCUUUUUAUGUGUUUCCCACAGUUAAUAAUAAAAUUAUGAUGAUGAAUAAGAUAGCAAAGGCUUAGAUGCCUUUUGUUAAAUGUAAAAAUAUAUGUGAUGAGUACCCUUUUUAUCCCGAAUCAUGAAGAAACUUUUGUGGCUAAGAGCAUAAAUA
RNAcentral lists this long non-coding RNA (1132 nucleotides) under Lupinus angustifolius (narrow-leaved blue lupine). RNAcentral describes it as "long non-coding RNA (LANG_LNC000892)". The record is from RNAcentral. Lineage: Eukaryota; Viridiplantae; Streptophyta; Magnoliopsida; Fabales; Fabaceae.